UGGAUCCAGACUUUGAUUAUGGCUCAGGAUGAACGCUAGCUACAGGCUUAACACAUGCAAGUCGAGGGGCAGCGGGAUUGAAGCUUGCUUCAAUUGCCGGCGACCGGCGCACGGGUGAGUAACGCGUAUCCAACCUUCCGUACACUCAGGGAUAGCCUUUCGAAAGAAAGAUUAAUACCUGAUAGUAUCUUAAGCACACAUGUAAUUAAGAUUAAAGAUUUAUCGGUGUACGAUGGGGAUGCGUUCCAUUAGGUAGUAGGCGGGGUAACGGCCCACCUAGCCAACGAUGGAUAGGGGUUCUGAGAGGAAGGUCCCCCACAUUGGAACUGAGACACGGUCCAAACUCCUACGGGAGGCAGCAGUGAGGAAUAUUGGUCAAUGGACGAGAGUCUGAACCAGCCAAGUAGCGUGAAGGAUGAAGGUCCUACGGAUUGUAAACUUCUUUUAUAAGGGAAUAAACCCUCCCACGUGUGGGAGCUUGUAUGUACCUUAUGAAUAAGCAUCGGCUAACUCCGUGCCAGCAGCCGCGGUAAUACGGAGGAUGCGAGCGUUAUCCGGAUUUAUUGGGUUUAAAGGGAGCGCAGACGGGUCGUUAAGUCAGCUGUGAAAGUUUGGGGCUCAACCUUAAAAUUGCAGUUGAUACUGGCGUCCUUGAGUGCGGUUGAGGUGUGCGGAAUUCGUGGUGUAGCGGUGAAAUGCUUAGAUAUCACGAAGAACUCCGAUUGCGAAGGCAGCACACUAAUCCGUAACUGACGUUCAUGCUCGAAAGUGUGGGUAUCAAACAGGAUUAGAUACCCUGGUAGUCCACACGGUAAACGAUGGAUACUCGCUGUUGGCGAUAUACUGUCAGCGGCUUAGCGAAAGCGUUAAGUAUCCCACCUGGGGAGUACGCCGGCAACGGUGCAACUCAAAUGAAU
RNAcentral lists this ribosomal RNA (917 nucleotides) under uncultured Bacteroidota bacterium. RNAcentral describes it as "bacterial SSU rRNA". It matches the Rfam family "Bacterial small subunit ribosomal RNA", at positions 1 to 910 of the family's 1533-position model. Lineage: Bacteria; Pseudomonadati; Bacteroidota. The record is from RNAcentral.